RNAcentral lists this ribosomal RNA (255 nucleotides) under uncultured bacterium. Its description in RNAcentral is "partial 16S ribosomal RNA". It matches the Rfam family "Bacterial small subunit ribosomal RNA", at positions 15 to 252 of the family's 1533-position model. The record is from RNAcentral.
GAUCCUGGCUCAGGAUGAACGCUGGCGGCGUGCUUAACACAUGCAAGUCGAACGAAGCACUUGAGAUUGAUUCUUCGGAAGAUUUCUCUUGUGACUUAGUGGCGGACGGGUGAGUAACGCGUGGGUAACCUGCCUCACACAGGGGGAUAACAGUUGGAAACGACCGCUAAUACCGCAUAACCCGCUAGGGCCGCAUGGCCCGGACGGAAAAGAUUUAUCGGUGUGAGACGGACCCGCGUUGGAUUAGCUAGUUGG